This 202-nucleotide ribosomal RNA is filed under the name uncultured bacterium. RNAcentral's name for it is "partial 16S ribosomal RNA". It matches the Rfam family "Bacterial small subunit ribosomal RNA", at positions 130 to 334 of the family's 1533-position model. The record is from RNAcentral.
CCGAUGGAGGGGGAUAACUACUGGAAACGGUAGCUAAUACCGCAUAACGUCGCAAGACCAAAGAGGGGGACCUUCGGGCCUCGCGCCAUCAGAUGAACCCAUAUGGGAUUAGCUAGUAGGUAAGGUAACGGCUUACCUAGGCGACGAUCCCUAGCUGGUCUGAGAGGAUGAUCAGCCACACUGGGACUGAGACACGGCCCAG